AAGUCGUAACAAGGUUUCCGUAGGUGAACCUGCGGAAGGAUCAUUAUCACGUAAAUCCACGUUAUAAACCCUUCUUUGAAUUGUUUAUAAAAACUAAAUUUCUGACAGCUGUGUGCUGUGCGAGGUUGGGACUUGGAAGUUGUAAGAGUGCGUCUGGUGCUGAGAAUUUGAAAAUCAGCAUCCGCUAAAAUGGGAUCGAAUGGUAACGUGAGAAUCCCAGAGUGCUCUUAUUAGUUCAAGACUAUCUAUCUCGUAGCUCAGAAAUCGUAAUUUCUCACUUUACAUUAUCGUAAAAACGACUGAAACCCCUUUUGAUAAAUUGAACUAACGAUUCUCUACUCUAGCCCUAAAAAAGCCUGAGAUUGAAUAAAAUACGAAACAAAGAACAACUCUUAGCAACGGAUAUCUUGGUUCUC
RNAcentral lists this unclassified non-coding RNA (416 nucleotides) under fungal sp. RNAcentral's name for it is "partial internal transcribed spacer region". The stretch from base 1 to 46 matches the Rfam family "Eukaryotic small subunit ribosomal RNA", at positions 1786 to 1831 of the family's 1831-position model. The record is from RNAcentral. Lineage: Eukaryota; Fungi.